CUACGUGCCAGCAGCCGCGGUAAUACGGAAGGUCCGGGCGUUAUCCGGAUUUAUUGGGUUUAAAGGGAGCGUAGGCCGGAGAUUAAGUGUAUUGUGAAAUGUAGACGCUCCACGUCUGACUUGCAGCGCAUACUGGUUUCCUUGAGUACGCACAACGUUGGCGGAAUUCGUCGUGUAGCGGUGAAAUGCUUAGAUAUGACGAAGAACUCCGAUUGCGAAGGCAGCUGACGGGAGCGCAACUGACGCUUAAGCUCGAAGGUGCGGGUAUCGAACAGGAUUAGAUACCCUGGUAGUCCGCACAGUAAACGAUGGAUGCCCGCUGUUGGUACCUGGUAUCAGCGGCUAAGCGAAAGCAUUAAGCAUCCCACCUGGGGAGUACGCCGGCAACGGUGAAACUCAAAGGAAUUGACGGGGGCCCGCACAAGCGGAGGAACAUGUGGUUUAAUUCGAUGAUACGCGAGGAACCUUACCCGGGCU
RNAcentral lists this ribosomal RNA (477 nucleotides) under uncultured bacterium. Its description in RNAcentral is "bacterial SSU rRNA". It matches the Rfam family "Bacterial small subunit ribosomal RNA", at positions 501 to 981 of the family's 1533-position model. The record is from RNAcentral.